This 2559-nucleotide long non-coding RNA is filed under the name Homo sapiens (human). Its description in RNAcentral is "non-protein coding MIR29B2CHG:93". The stretch from base 1563 to 1633 matches the Rfam family "mir-29 microRNA precursor family". Lineage: Eukaryota; Metazoa; Chordata; Mammalia; Primates; Hominidae. The record is from RNAcentral.
CUGUCCUUAAACACUCACUCCUGACCUUACAACCCUGGCUGUUACCUGGUUAACAAGCCCCAGGUGUUGGCUACAGGUGUCAUCACUGAGAGCCCUUGUGUGCAGAUCUGCCCCAGCUCUCCCACCUGUGACUGAGGCUAGCAAGUCCCCCGUGGGCUGUAGAGCCUAGCGCUGGUGUCAGAAUCGCUUGUUGCAGGUUCAUCUUCAGUGUCUUUCCCACAGCCACAUGCUGGGGAAAGACGGCAAAGGCGCUAGAGGAGCAGGAGAACAAAGCAAGCUGCCCCAGACCACCCGGCUUUCGCAGAACCCAGAUGAUGCUCCUGUCUCCCCCUAAGUAUAACGUGUUAUGUAGUCAGUAUGAUCCCAUUCAGUGCAGAAGUAUCGCCUAGGAAUUUCCUGCCCCACCCACCCUGUUUUGUUCUUAAUGAAGUUCAAGAACAAAAUGAGAUGAUAGUCAAGUUAUGGAGCAGGCUGCAGUGGAUACAAGGGCAGAAACACAGUCUUUGGAGUUAGACCUGGGAUCUGCAUUGAUUGGUUGUGUGACUGCAGACAAGUUAUUUAGCCUCAUUAAGGAUGAAUUUCUUCGCAAAAAUUGGAAUAAUACCUGCCCCAUACGACUGUUGUGAGAAUUAAACACCGCAACUUUUGAUGUUCAAAUUCUAUUUCUUCUCCUUCUAGCAACACAUACUGUUAGUGCCAGGAACCAUAAAAAUUAUAAGGCUGUAUCUAGAGGCCUGAAAGGAAGCUAAAAUAUACAGUGUCUACUCUGUCUCUUUUCUCUUGGUUAUGGUAUCAGAGGAAAUACACAUAUUUUCUUAGCUUCAAACCACCAAAAAAGAUGAUGCAGUAAGGAGAUGGGAAAUCUAAUUUGGAAUACAGUGUGCAAAUCUUAUUUUCAAGCAGACUUUGAAAAUAAAACUCAAUUCUUACGUUAGAGGAUUAUCUGCUUAAUACAAUUAUAGGGUACCAGUUUUUGAAGUCACAUCGGGGUUAAAUAAGAUUGCAGGUUCAUGGGGUCAUAUUUGAAUGUUCUGAUACUUACAUAUGGGGUGGGAAGGAGGAAUGCAUGCUUUUCUCAAGUUAAGACACAUAAAAGAGUUGUCCUGGCCCAGGUGAGACUCGCCUUUGUGUAGCAGCUGGAGCUUCAUUCCACAGGCAGAUAGGGUGCUUGUGUCCUGAUGAAGUAAGAGAAUAUAUCUGGAAACACUUUGUGUACUGUGAAAUACUAUACAAAUGCAGGGCAGUACAAAUGUAAAUAUUAAUGUAUUUUAGUAAUAAUUUUAGCUUUUAUUUCAUCAUAUAUAAUAAUUUGUAGUGACUGGUGUGAAGUUAAAUAGAAUUAACCUAGAAUUAAUGAGUUUUGUAUUGCUCUCAUCUAUUUGAAGCAUCAGCUGUGCCUUUCAUGUUGCCUUGUGCAGCCCUGUGUAACCUCCUCUGUGCCUUUCCCAUGGAGCACUGUGUCAUAUCACAAGUAGAACUACAAGAAGAUAUUUCUCCUCAGGGCAGAGGCUGGGUCUUCCGAUUGAAUCUCCCUUCUUUCUUCAUUGAGAUCCUCUUCUUCUGGAAGCUGGUUUCACAUGGUGGCUUAGAUUUUUCCAUCUUUGUAUCUAGCACCAUUUGAAAUCAGUGUUUUAGGAGUAAGAAUUGCAGCACAGCCAAGGGUGGACUGCAGAGGAACUGCUGCUCAUGGAACUGGCUCCUCUCCUCUUGCCACUUGAGUCUGUUCGAGAAGUCCAGGGAAGAACUUGAAGAGCAAAAUACACUCUUGAGUUUGUUGGGUUUUGGGAGAGGUGACAGUAGAGAAGGGGGUUGUGUUUAAAAUAAACACAGUGGCUUGAGCAGGGGCAGAGGUUGUGAUGCUAUUUCUGUUGACUCCUAGCAGCCAUCACCAGCAUGAAUGUGUUCGUAGGGCCUUUGAGUGUGGCGAUUGUCAUAUUCUGUUGGAUAACAAUGUAUUGGGUGUCGAUUGUCAUGGGGCAGGGGAGAGGGCAGUACACCUGGAGGACCAUUUUGUCCACAUCGACACCAUCAGUCUGCUCUUAGAGGAUGCCCUGGAGUAUUCGGCGUUGAUUGCGGGGCACCCGAAAUCAGACUUGCCACCUGGACUGUCGAGGUGCAGACCCUGGGAGCACCACUGGCCCAUCUCUUACACAGGCUGACCGAUUUCUCCUGGUGUUCAGAGUCUGUUUUUGUCUAGCACCAUUUGAAAUCGGUUAUGAUGUAGGGGGAAAAGCAGCAGCCUCGAAGCCUCAUGCCAACUCUGGGCAGCAGCAGCCUGUGGUUUCCUGGAAGAUGGAUGGGCAGAGAAUAGGGAAGGAAGAUCAUGCUUUUCCCUACUAACUUCUGUAACUGCAUGUAUGAUACAUUAUUGCAGAGGUAAGAGAUAGUUUAAUGGAUUUUUAAAAACAAAUUACUAUAAUUUAUCUGAUGUUCUCUAGUUGCAUUUUGCUGAAAUGUAGUGCUGUUCUAAAUUCUGUAAAUUGAUUGCUGUUGAAUUAUCUUUCUGUUGAGAAGAGUCUAUUCAUGCAUCCUGACCUUAAUAAAUACUAUGUUCAGUUU